This 687-nucleotide ribosomal RNA is filed under the name uncultured Marivirga sp. RNAcentral describes it as "bacterial SSU rRNA". It matches the Rfam family "Bacterial small subunit ribosomal RNA", at positions 129 to 825 of the family's 1533-position model. The record is from RNAcentral. Lineage: Bacteria; Pseudomonadati; Bacteroidota; Cytophagia; Cytophagales; Marivirgaceae.
CCUUAAACUGGAGAUAGCCUUCCGAAAGGGAGAUUAAUACCGCAUAAUACUAUUUGAGGGCAUCUGAGGAUAGUUAAAGAUUUAUUGGUUUAAGAUGGGCAUGCGUGCCAUUAGCUAGUUGGUAGGGUAACGGCCUACCAAGGCGACGAUGGCUAGGGGUUCUGAGAGGAUGAUCCCCCACACUGGCACUGAGAUACGGGCCAGACUCCUACGGGAGGCAGCAGUAGGGAAUAUUGGGCAAUGGGCGAAAGCCUGACCCAGCCAUGCCGCGUGCAGGAAGAAGGCCUUCUGGGUUGUAAACUGCUUUUAUCUGGGAAGAAAAAGCCCCUGCGGGGGAAACUGACGGUACCAGAGGAAUAAGCACCGGCUAACUCCGUGCCAGCAGCCGCGGUAAUACGGANGGUGCAAGCGUUGUCCGGAUUUAUUGGGUUUAAAGGGUGCGUGGGCGGCCCGGUAAGUCAGUGGUGGAAACCUCCAGCUCAACUGGAGAACUGCCAUUGAUACUGCCGGGCUUGAAUACAGACGAAGUUGGCGGAAUUGAUAGUGUAGCGGUGAAUGCAUAAAUACUAUCAAGAACUCCGAUNGCGUANGCAGCUAACUAGGCUGUACUGACGCUGAAGCACGAAGCGUGGGAGCGACAGGAUAAAUACCUGGUAGCCACCUGUAACGAGAUGACUCAUGUNGCAU